AUUAUUACCCGGUCGGACACAUUAUUUUAUAAAUUCUUGUUAAAUUCUUAUUUUGAGCGAAUGUGAGUUGUGAUAUGUCAAUGAAGGACAAAAGCUGGAAUGUGAACAGAGGAAGGGGUCGUAACGUUACGUGGUCUGUAAAAAUACUGGUGAUAUCACUUCAGGUCAAGCAUUGGAAUAAGAUUUUUUCGGGGGGAGAACACCCAAAUAGAGACAAAUCCACUAACUACAUGAAAGGUCAUGUCACCUUCAUCAGUCCUUUAUUUAAUUAACUGGAAA
Long non-coding RNA from Rhinichthys klamathensis goyatoka, 279 nucleotides. RefSeq lists it as uncharacterized. The transcript is spliced from 3 exons. The record is from RefSeq and is a predicted model, not a curated record. Lineage: Eukaryota; Metazoa; Chordata; Actinopteri; Cypriniformes; Leuciscidae.